This 7731-nucleotide long non-coding RNA is filed under the name Lactuca sativa (garden lettuce). RNAcentral's name for it is "long non-coding RNA (LSAT_LNC001052)". Lineage: Eukaryota; Viridiplantae; Streptophyta; Magnoliopsida; Asterales; Asteraceae. The record is from RNAcentral.
UGAAAUUAAUAAACUUAUUUAUUGUGGGUUGAAAACCCUAUGUGCUCACCAGGCUCCCAAGCCUGACCCACUCAGUUUUAUGUAUUACAGGUAGUGGCGCAUGAGCAUAGGUGUGAUGUUUUGGACGAGGGAUUACGGAUAUAGGCCUGUAGAUAUGAAAUAAUGUAGUAAGGCUUAUAUUGUACUGUUUAUGCUUUUGAUCUGUACGAACAUGACAUCCCGAGUCUUUUAAUGAAAUACAUUUCUAUGGAAAUGCUUUUGAUAAAUCUUUAUCAUAUUUUUGUUUUGGGACAAAUUCCGCAACACUUUCAUUUAAAAUGUAACUCUGAUUUUUAAACAAAGCAUAAACAAACCGGUCUUUUCUGGCCGUGAUUUUGGGGAUGUCACAGUUGGUAUCAGAGCAUUAGUUUAAGCGAACUAGGAAUUUGUAGGAUUUCUAGACUUAAACUUAGAAUGCUAAGCGAUGAUUGUGAGGUGUGAGCACUAGCUUAUUUUAGGAAUUGUGCCUAAAAUGCUUUUAUGUGCUAAAUGCUUUGUGCAUAAUAUGCUGUUAAUUGUUCGGAUCUAUGGUCUGUUGCCGACCGGAUCUGGAAACCUUAUGUGUUUAGGAUUCUAAACGUACGACUACGAUAUUAGAACUAGCAUGUAAACGUUUCGGAGUGAUAAGGACGAUUUAAAACGUCUAUCCUAAAUAAAGAUCUAAAUUCACCUUAUUCGGUGUAUAGAUCAAGAUGGCAAGGACCCGUAGCGGAAACGUGAACGCAAAUGGAGGUAGGAACCAACCCCCAGUGGUUCAGCAAAUACCUGUUGUUGAAGAAGUUGCACCUGAGCCAGUCACCAUGGCUGGAGUUCAAGCCAUGAUUCAGGCUAUGCUAGCUGAACAAAGGGAAGAAAUGAGACGGAUGCUCCACGAAAAUAGGGACGAACCUACCAUACAUGUUGAACCGACGGAGCCAGUUCCCGAGCCAUCUGAGGAAGGGAACUAUAGCCGCCAAGUGAGUCAAGUAGGGACUCAAGGUGAGCAAAAGGAUGGCCCAGAAGGGAGAAACAACAAGGAUGGGCGGAUGUACAAAAAUUUCUUGGGUGCGAAACCACCAAGUCUCUCAGGAAGCCCAAAGCCUGUUGAGAUUAUGGACUGGAUCUCCGAGAUGGAGAUGGUGUUUGAGAGCUGCGACUGCAGCGAGAAGCAGAAGACUGUCUUCGCUGUGAGACAAUUGAAAACUGGAGUCUUGAGCUGGUGGAAGCUAUUGGCAGAUACAAUGCCACGGGGAGAAGCUCUGAAAAUGUCAUGGGAUGAGUUCUUGGAACAACUGAAGGCGCAGUACUGUUCAGAGAUAGACCUGAUUGAUCUGAACAAUGAGUUCCAAAAUUUGAAGAAGGGGAGAAUGAGCAUCGAUGACUAUGCUGCUGCAUUUACGGAAAAGAUGAAGUUGUUUCCAUACCUAGUGCCAACCGAACUUUCCAAAAUUGAGAAAUUCGCAAACGGACUGCCGGCUGACUUUGGCCCAACAGUCAAGAUGGCAACCACUCUGAAAUCAGCUGUUCGAGCAGCUAAGAACGUGGAGACCCAACAAAAGGAAAGAGGUCUGGAGAGGGCUGAGGUUGGUGAGAAACGGAAGUUCAAUGGAUCCUCGAAGUCCAACAAGAAGAGUAGAUUCUCGAAGUCUGGUUCGAGGGGAGGAGGAUCAGAAGCGAAGUGGUGUGACAAGUGCAAGAAGAAGCACUCUGGGAAGUGUGACGGAGGGGUCACUUGUUACAAGUGCGGAAAGCCUGGGCACUACGCCAAUGAAUGCACCCUCAACCAGAAAGCCUGUUAUGGGUGCAAUGAAGAAGGGCACAUUUUGAAGGACUGCCCGAAGAAGAAGGAGACAGGAAGACCCAACAUACCACCGAAGCCGAAGGCGAGAGCCUUCCAGAUGACGCUCGAGGCUGCAAAGGAGGCAGCAGACGUCGCUUCAGGUACCUUUCUUGUAAAUGGUUUGCCUGCAAAUAUACUAUUUGAUUCCGGAGCCAACUACUCCUUUGUGUCGCAUAAAUUUGGUGGGAAAUUAGCAUUGCCUGUAGAAAAACUAGAUAAUGCCCUGAUUGUAGAAGUUGCCAGUGGCAAAUUCGUACCUGUUAGUAAUCGUAUUAGGAACAUCGUCAUUGACCUAAACGGAAACGAAUUCCACGAAGAGCUAUUACCCAUAGAGUUAAACGGUUUCGACAUCGUUUUGGGUAUGGAUUGGCUUAGCGCCAACGAUGCUGAGAUUCAAUGCCGAAAGAAGAUAGUAAAGGUAAACCCACCCGGAAAAGAAUCAUUUAUGGUGUAUGGGGACAAACGCAGAGUGAAUUCUGGAAUCAUCUCCCUGAUGAAAGCCAGGAAAUGUUUGUCCAAAGGAUGUGCAUCAUACUUGGCAUUCGUAAUCGAUGCCAAGAAGGAGAAGAAAGAGGUGCAGAAUAUACCGGUUGUGUGUGAUUAUCCGGAAGUCUUUCCCGAAGAUCUUCCCGGAUUACCACCUGAUAGGCAAGUGGAGUUUCGUAUAGACUUGUUACCAGGAACAACACCGAUAGCAAAGGCACCUUACCGAUUAGCACCGACGGAGAUGAAGGAGCUCAUGACGCAACUUCAGGAGCUGUUGGACAACGGUUUUAUUCGACCUAGUUCAUCACCCUGGGGAGCUCCGGUGUUAUUCGUGAAGAAGAAGGACGGAAGUAUGAGAAUGUGUAUAGACUACCGAGAGCUGAAUAAGGCAACGGUGAAGAACAAGUAUCCAUUGCCGAGGAUUGAUGACCUAUUCGAUCAGCUGCAAGGUUCGAGCUACUUCUCAAAGAUCGAUCUUAGGUCAGGAUAUCAUCAGCUAAAGGUGAGAAAGCAGGAUAUUGAGAAGACUGCAUUCAGAACGAGAUAUGGACACUACGAGUUCUUGGUUAUGUCAUUCGGGCUAACCAAUGCUCCCGCAGCAUUCAUGGAUUUGAUGAAUAGGGUUUGUAAACCAUUCCUCGAUAAAUCCGUGAUAGUGUUCAUCGACGACAUUCUCAUCUACUCGAAAAGCCAAGAGGAGCAUGGCAAGCAUCUACGGGAAGUAUUAGAAGUGUUGAAGAAGGAGAAGCUUUUUGCAAAGUUCUCCAAAUGCGACUUUUGGAUACGGGAAGUCCAAUUCUUGGGUCAUGUUGUUAACCAGGAGGGAAUAAUGGUUGACCCCGCAAAGAUCGAGGCUGUAAUGAAGUGGGAACGUCCAAAGAGUCCCACGGAGAUUCGAAGCUUUCUAGGAUUAGCCGGAUAUUAUCGACGAUUUAUCCAAGGCUUUUCUUCGAUAGCUGCUCCAUUAACAGCUUUGACUCAUAAAGGAGCUACGUAUACGUGGAGUGAGAAACACGAUGAGGCAUUCGAGAAGCUAAAGAAGAAGUUAUGUGAAGCACCGAUACUUUCUCUACCCGAUGGAGUCGAAGAUUUCGCGGUUUAUAGUGACGCUUCUGGAGUCGGGUUGGGUUGUGUUCUGACCCAAAGAGAAAAGGUGAUAGCAUACGCAUCUCGACAAUUGAAAGAGCACGAAAAGAACUACCCCACUCAUGAUCUGGAGUUGGCAGCGGUAGUUUUUGCCUUAAAGAUAUGGAGGCAUUACCUCUACGGCACGAAGUGCAAGCUCUUCACUGAUCAUAAGAGUCUCCAGUAUCUCUUUAAUCAGAAGGAGUUGAACAUGAGGCAACGACGCUGGCUAGAACUUCUCAAGGACUACGACUGUGAGAUACUUUACCACCCAGGUAAAGCAAAUAUUGUUGCUGAUGCUCUCAGUCGGAAAGUCAAUCUGGAAAGGAAAAGGCCAAGAGCGUUAAGAAUUGAAGUCGUCUCGACGAUUGUGGAAAGUAUCAGGAAAGCUCAAGAAGAAGCUUUAGAGAAAAAUGACCGAAAGGAAGAACGUUUGGGAAGAACGUUAGUGUUCGGUACAAACAGUCGAGGACUGAAGGUAUUCCAAGAUCGAAUUUGGGUACCUAAGACGGGAGGAAUAAGAGAUCUUCUGAUGGAAGAAGCACACAAGACCAUGUACUCGAUUCAUCCCGGUAGCACUAAAAUGUAUAGGGACCUAAAACCCUACUACUGGUGGCCGACGAUGAAGCUCGAUGUUGCGAAGUAUGUGGCCGAGUGCGUAACAUGUGCGAGGGUUAAGGCACAACAUCAGAAACCGUAUGGGAGUUUAGAACCUUUACCUGUACCCAUGGGUAAAUGGGAAGACAUCACCAUGGAUUUUGUGACUAAACUGCCCAGGACGAAGAACGGUCACGACAUGAUUUGGGUAGUCGUGGAUCGUUUCACCAAGAGUGCACACUUCAUAGCAGCCAACGAGAAGUGGUCUAUGGAUAAGCUCGCAAAUGCUUACGUGAAGGAAAUUGUAAGACUUCACGGUGUCCCUCUUACGAUUGUAUCAGAUCGUGAUAGUCGUUUCACGUCAAGGUUUUGGAGGAGUCUACAAGAGGAGUUAGGUACAAAGUUGUGUUUGAGUACUGCUUAUCAUCCGCAAACUGAUGGUCAGAGCGAAAGAACGAUUCAGACGCUGGAAGAUAUGCUGAGAGCAUGUACCCUCGAAUUCCAAGGGAAUUGGGACGAGCACUUACCUCUGGUAGAAUUUUCCUACAACAAUAGUUUUCACUCGAGCAUCAAGAUGGCUCCUUAUCAAGCCUUGUAUGGGCAGAAGUGUCGUACGCCGUCUUGUUGGCUUGAAGCCGGAGAGAAGCAGUUUAUGGGCCCCGAGAUAGUCCAUGAGACUGCUGAGAAGUUGAAGGUGAUUAGGGAAAGGAUGUUAGCAGCCCAGGAUCGUCAGAAGAGCUAUGCUGACAAGAAAAGACGACCGAUAACUUUCGAAGUUGGGGAUUCCGUUUUGCUUAAAGUCUCACCGUGGAAGGGACUUAUACGAUUUGGGAAACGAGGAAAGUUGAGUCCAAGGUUUAUUGGACCGUUCAAAGUUCUUCAGAAGAUAGGGAACCAAGCUUACAAGCUGGAAUUGCCCGAAGAACUCAAUGGUAUUCAUAACACCUUCCAUGUGUGUUAUUUGAGGAAAUUCACGGGAGAUGUUCCCGACAUAAUUCCAAUCUCAGAGUUAAGGAUGGAUGAAAAUAAAAGGUUGAUCGAAGAGCCUGAGGCAAUUGUUGACCGUAAGACUAAGAAGUUACGACGCAAGAUGGUCGACUUGGUGCUAGUCCGAUGGAAACAUUCGAAUGGGCCGAAUCUCACUUGGGAAACAGAGGAUGACAUGAUGAGUCGCUAUCCACAUCUGUUUGCUGAUGCAUGAUUCCGGGACGGAAUCAUCCUAAGGGGGAGAGAAUUGUAACGCCCGGGUUUCAGGGCUAAGCAUUUUUGUCAAUGUAAUAGUCUAGGUCAACUCUUGUAACUCUUUUUGAAGUAAUAAAGAUGAAAUAUUUGAGUAUUAUGUGAAUUAUAUGUGUUUAUUAUUUAAUUAUAAAUGUAUAAUUAAUAAAGAAUAAAAAUGAGCGUCAAAAUUAAAGUGUGAGAUAAUCCCGAUAUCUCUACAUAAAGUUGUAGAAUAUGUCUCAAGGUUUCCGUGCAUAUAAGGAACGCCGAAAUCCGAGUUAUAACGAAGAAGUUAUGACCCGUCGAAGUUUCACGACAGAACCGGCACGAUACCGGGAAGCGUGAAUAGUGAAUUUACGAUAGAGCGAGAUUUAGCCUUAGUGAUCUAAACGAAAGUCGUAGAAUAUGUUAAACUAAGAACAUCGAUAAAAAGAACGCCCAAAUCUGACUUCGUAUGAAGAAGUUAUGAGAUUUUAAACAGACCAAUCCUGUCCCGGCUUGUUAAAAAUAUAACUUUAAAAAUAAAGUCAAAAUUAGCCGACGGAGUCUAAACGAAAGUUGUAGAGUACGUCUUCACCUACGCGUGGAUAUAAAGAACGUCAAAAACGGAGUUCGUAUGAACGAGUUACAAAUUAUAAUAGCAUAUUUACGUAUUAAAAUAAAGUAUAAAUCAUGUAUACGUACACAUAUAUAUACAUAUGUAUAUAUCAUUAGAAAGGUAUCGACGAUGCGGUCAUUAUAAGACUAAUGUUGAGUUCUUUCGACAUUAGUUUAGUACAAAUAUCAUUAAAUCCAUUUAUAAUAGUAUUAUAGAGGGGUGUUUAGUUGUUUAUAUAACUAAAAGGUCAUUAAGUAAUUAUGGAGGGUAGUUUUUGAAAAUUCAAUUAGUAUAAAUAAGAGCCUUGGGCUCUCAUAUUUCUUGCACCAUUCUCUUGAUUCAAGAGUCUUUCUCUCCUUAUCCCCCGAGCAUUUCGGUCCCUCGUGAUUCGACUUCUCUUUCUGUAGCUUAGUAUAGUAAGGUGAGCGCUGAAGCGCUGCACGAAUCUUUCUUAGAAAGAUUCAGCGACGAAGUUCUGCCCCUGCAGAGCCCGACUCCUAGCUAAAACCCCCUUGUAAGUAAGUUAUGCUUACCUUAUUUUAAUAUAGCUUAUAUUUAAAAUUAGUAUUGUUAUUAUGAACUUAUAAUAAAUAUUUGAGCUAUUAUUAUAACUUAUAUAAGUGUCGUUAUAAAUUUUUUUUUAACUACUCGCGGUACGGGGAAUCUGGUUUAAAGGGCCGCAUAGGGUUGUUGGAUUUCAGAAGUGCUAUAUGCCAAAAUGGUCCUGCCCUCCGGUGUUUUAUGUCUGGCCCCUGUCUGUACAUAGUGGUUGGAAAAUAUUGUUUAACGCUUAUAUAAUAAUAAUAAUACUAAGACUAAUAGUUGGUCACGGUAAAUAUUAGACUAAAAUUUAGCGAUAAUAAUGCUAGGUUUCGUCGAAGGAAAAUAGAAUCGUUAGAAGCAAGCGCUGCCCGAUUUUGGAAUCAUCACCUUAACAAGUGAGUGCAUAGUUACUUUCAACUUACACAUAGAUAUGAAGUAUUUUAUAUAAAUUACGUGCUAUGUGUGCAUAUUAUCUGAAUACUUGCUAUCUAUGCUAGAUGAACGUUGUUAUACAUGUUUUCAAUGAUUUAAACUGUAUAUGUAUUUUAUAUCUACGAAAAUGUUGGGGUAAAACAUGGGUAGAUGUAAUAGGUGAUGUGUGAUAAAAUGAUGAGAGGCCUCGAUGUUGAUGUUGUUGAUUCUGUCAUCUAGCGGAGUAUGGAUGACGACCACGGACUCUUCUAGACAGUCCAGUGGAACACUAGCAGGCUCGCAACCUGUAGGUGUUUGUGAACGAUGUGUUCACCGGUGUACUCCAUCCCCCACAUGGUGCCCAUUAGGACAUUUAUUGCUGAGGAAUCCCCUUAGCAGUAGUGUCCGUCCCGAUGAUGAUCCUUAGGCUAGGUCCCUUAUGAUGGGUGUUUAGGGACGUAAGGUGAGGAUAACGGGAACGGGUAAUCGGGUUAUUGUUGAUUGAUGAAAUUAAUAAACUUAUUUAUUGUGGGUUGAAAACCCUAUGUGCUCACCAGGCUCCCAAGCCUGACCCACUCAGUUUUAUGUAUUACAGGUAGUGGCGCAUGAGCAUAGGUGUGAUGUUUUGGACGAGGGAUUACGGAUAUAGGCCUGUAGAUAUGAAAUAAUGUAGUAAGGCUUAUAUUGUACUGUUUAUACUUUUGAUCUGUACGAACAUGACAUCCCGAGUCUUUUAAUGAAAUAUAUUUCUAUGGAAAUGCUUUUGAUAAAUCUUUAUCAUAUUAUUGUUUUGGGACAAAUUCCGCAACCCUUUUAUUAAAAGAUAACUCUGAUUUUGAAAUAAAGUAUAAACAAAAACCGGUCUUUUCAUCCCGUGAUUUUGGGGAUGUCA